GACGAACGCUGGCGGCGUGCUUAACACAUGCAAGUCGAACGGACAGGCCCUGCUUUUGUGGGGUGCUCGAGUGGCGAACGGGUGAGUAACACGUGAGUAUCCUGCCCUUGACUUUGUGAUAUCUCCAGGAAACUGGGGCUCAUACCGCGUAGGAGCUCUUGCUGCAUGUUGUGGGUUGGAAAGUUUCGGCGGUAGUGGAUAGACUCGCGGCUUAUCAGCUUGUUGGUCGGGUAGUGGGUUACCAAGCCUUCGACGGGUAGCCGGCAUGGGAGGGUGAACGGCGACAUUGGGACUGAGAGACGGCGCAGACUCCUACGGGAGGCAGCAGUGGAGAGUAUUGCGCAAUGGGCGGAAGCCUGAUGCAGCAACCUCGCGUGCGGGAUGACGGCCUUCGGGUUGUAAACCGCUUUCGCCUGUGACGAAGCGUGAGUGACGGUAAUGGGUAAAAAAGCACCGGCUAACUACGUG
Molecule: ribosomal RNA, 468 nt
Filed under: uncultured bacterium
Lineage: Bacteria
Description: partial 16S ribosomal RNA
Rfam family: Bacterial small subunit ribosomal RNA
Source: RNAcentral